GUAGGUGGCAAGCGUUGUCCGGAAUUAUUGGGCGUAAAGCGCGCGCAGGCGGUCCUUUAAGUCUGAUGUGAAAGCCCACGGCUCAACCGUGGAGGGUCAUUGGAAACUGGGGGACUUGAGUACAGAAGAGGAAAGCGGAAUUCCAAGUGUAGCGGUGGAAUGCGUAGAGAUUUGGAGGAACACCAGUGGCGAAGGCGGCUUUCUGGUCUGUAACUGACGCUGAGGCGCGAAAGCGUGGGGAGCAAACAGGGAUUAGAUACCCUGGUAGUCCACGCCGUAAACGAUGAGUGCUAAGUGUUAGGGGGUUUCCCGCCCCUUAGUGCUGCAGCUAACGCAUUAAGCACUCCGCCUGGGGAGUACGGCCGCAAGGCUG
RNAcentral lists this ribosomal RNA (373 nucleotides) under uncultured organism. Its description in RNAcentral is "partial 16S ribosomal RNA". It matches the Rfam family "Bacterial small subunit ribosomal RNA", at positions 527 to 896 of the family's 1533-position model. The record is from RNAcentral.